Molecule: ribosomal RNA, 233 nt
Filed under: uncultured bacterium
Lineage: Bacteria
Description: partial 16S ribosomal RNA
Rfam family: Bacterial small subunit ribosomal RNA
Source: RNAcentral
ACGGGUGAGUAACGCGUGGUCAACCUACCGUUGAUGGGGGGAUAACUAGCCGAAAGGUUAGCUAAUACCGCAUACGUCUCCGAGGGGCAUCCCUUGGCGAUAAAAGGAGCAAUCCGCUCGAUGACGGGACCGCGUCCCAUUAGCUAGAUGGUGGGGUAACGGCCUACCAUGGCUCCGAUGGGUAGCUGGUUUGAGAGAGCGACCAGCCACACUGGGACUGAGAAACGGCCCAG